This is a long non-coding RNA of Gadus macrocephalus (Pacific cod), 4262 nucleotides long. RefSeq lists it as uncharacterized. The record is from RefSeq and is a predicted model, not a curated record. The transcript has 2 exons. NCBI's taxonomy places the organism in Eukaryota, Metazoa, Chordata, Actinopteri, Gadiformes, Gadidae.
GAUGGUGAAUUUCUAAUUCCGAUCUUGGCAUUUUGAGGAAACAGGCUUCUCGCACUUUUGAAUAGAUAAGUCUUUUGGUUGGGGUACCGUUUGAGUUGGUAUUCUGAGAAAUUUCUUGUUUGUUCGUGAUCUGGUCGAGUGUUUGUGUGUUCAACCAUUAUUUUGAAAGAAUAGGCUUGUUGUUCGGGGUACCGUUUGAAUAAAUUUUAAGCACUAACCUUGAGCCAAAUGAGCUGCAGAACUUGUACCUGGAGAGGGUGCCAAUCUUUUAUUCCGUUCUUGGUGUUGUUAGACAAUAGGUUCUUGUUCAGAAUUCUGGUUGAAUGAUUAUAUAUCCGACAGUUCAUGUUUUAAAAGGCCAGCUUCAGCGUUUGGCCAAUCUUUUAUUUUGCAUUUAAAGACGAGUGAGUGAGUUCCAGUCAGUAUCUUGUGCAAACAAAUUCGGCCGUUUUUUUCGAUACACUAUUGAACGUGGUAUAAACAGUUUUCUUCUGUAUUUAAGUUGUGUAGGAUUAAGUUACCUCGGAGGCUUUUACAAUCCGUUUUGUUUUUAGUUUAUCCUGUCAUUAAGACAGUCAGAUAAAUAAAUAACUUGUCUGGAACAAGUGGGCGAAACUUUAUCUAGGGGUGUGUUCUCUUAGCCUGUGGCCAGAAAGGGUGGGGGCCUAGGAGCAGAGUACAUCUAGAAACAGCUGGGACGCAGAUCCCAAUCGAGAGAGAGAGAGAGAGAGCAACGCACGGGGGAAGUGCACAUUUGUGGUUUUAGAGAUAAUAAAAUAAAUUGUCUAACGAGUUGAAUAAACUCAAAUAAAUUGUAUUAAAAAUAGUGUUUACACACCUAGAGAGAAUAUGAAUAUAGUACAGACGGCUGCGGAGAUUUUGAGUAGAGACCGUCUAUUGCUCAAAGGUGAGAUGAAAAAGAUCUCUGAGAAAUGGAGGAAAGAAAAGGGAACAGCUGGAAAAAUAACAAAUAAAGAUGUGAAAACUGAGCCAUUAUCCCGAAGGCUCAGUCUCCACCGUAUAACACAGGAUUGUAUCCACUGGUAACAGGCACGGUAGAUAUUAAAGGGGAGGUCGAAGUGAAUGCAGAAAAUAAGGGGGAGAGUUUCUGGGACAGACACAAGGGGGGGGGGGGCAAAGUCCAGCAGCAUUAAAUCAUUACAGAGCCCCCUAAACGCUCGAGUUACAUGAGAAGCAUGGUAGAUCGCAUGAGGAGAGAAGAGCACCCAACACGUCAUCGGGAAAUUAUCUUAUUCUAGUUAAACAACAACGGGCAUUCUCUCCUCCAGUACAAUGGCCUUAGAGCCAAUGGUCACCUACUCCACCUGUCAUAAAUAUACAUAUACAUCAUUGUGGGAACCUAACGAAUGGAAAUAGGCAGAAUCAGUAUAAGGGACCCAAGGAUAGUAGAAAAACAAUCAACAGCAGGACAACCUAGAGGUCCUUUAAUAUGUUUUGGGUGCAGGCAGGAAGGACAUAUUAGAAAAAUUGUAUGUGGUUGCUAGUGUGUCCUAAAAAUGAAUCCUGACGGGACAGGUCAUUCGAUUUGGAUGAAUUUGUCAUGCGUUUCAACUCCAAGGGUGACAAUCUGAGAAUUCUUAUUUUCAGAGUGAGUGAGUGAGUGAGUGAGUGAGUGAGAAAGAGGGAGAGAGAGAGAGAGAGAGAGAGAGAGAGAGAGAGAGAGAGAGAGAGAGAGAGAGAGAGAGAGAGAGAGAGAGAGAGAGAGAGAGAGAGAGAGAGAGAGAGAGAGAGAGAGAGAGAGAGAGAAUGGAUUUGCAUUGUGCUGAAUAGAUUACAUUUGUGAUUGGAUGUACUCUGUACUACUUGGUCCUUCGAUAUAACUUGUGGCCCCUUAAUGGCCCCUGUUUUAGGAAAAUCAUAAAACCACCACUGGGAUCGGUGACUCUGUGGUUCUGUGUGUCGCGACAACCUUUGAGACUCUCCAUAGCGUCGUGGUACCUUGUGAUAUGAAUCAAUAGAUCUUGGUACACAGAACAAUUGGUGAAACACUGUGUUGGUUCAGAGGGAUACAGCAUGUUGGGUAAGGGAGAGGAUUGAGAGGAUUCUGGAUGUGAUGAGUUUAAUGUAAAGGACACAGAGAGAGAUGGUAGGGCCCAACCCAGAGGUGAUAAAUCAAUGGAGAGCCCAGUAUCGAAGUAUUAGAGCUAUAUGGUAAUCGCAGGUUUUAAUGGUAAUUAUCUAGACUCCAUAAAAUGAACAAUUAGCGUUUAAUGUUGUCAAUAAAAUGCACACCGCUCGUCCACAGGAGUCCAGGGGGCUACCAGCGCUGGGGAUUCUUAUUAAAAGAAUUCAGGGUAAACACAGUUGCACUCCUCAAAAGAGGAGCUCAGCUUACCCAAACCUUGGACUCCGCAGUGGUAGGUGGAUAGGUGGAUGUUGUUUUGGUGUUUGGACCUGACGAGGUCUAGGCGCCAAGAUAACAACACAAAUAAAAUGUUUCCUAAGGAAUUACGAUAAUAUCAGACAUUUAUUAAAAGUGGUCGUACAAUCUAGAAAUAAUAAUUGGCAAUACUUGAAAAUUAGAAUAGAUGAGUACGAUAAAAUAUUAAUCAAAUUUAUGAAUUCAUUUUAUCCACAAUGACAAAUGUCAUUUAAAAUUAAAUAAGUAAAAUACAAUAAAAAAGGGUGUGUGUUUGAGCCUGCUCUCGUGUGUGUGUUAGGGCCACAGAGGCAGGGGAGAAUGCUCUCCUACUUAGUGUGAUGGAAUAUACGAAGGGGUACCAAAAGCUUACUUCAGACAAAACAACAGGUAGAAUAAAAUAAGAUUAGAUCGCCCAAUUUAAAUAGUGAGUAUAGGACAAUCGGGUGGAAUAAUAAAGGGAAUUAUGAUUAUGAGUAACGGUUAACACAGAAGUGAAUCGCCUAAUAUUGAAAAUGCAAGUUUUAAUAUUGUGAUUUUUUGUUUUAUUUCACAUCUCCUUAGUUAAGGACAAUAGGUGGAUUAACGCUACAUCUGCUGGGAAGGGAUCCUACAUGCUAGGUCUCAAUUUACAUUCAGAAGUGGUGGGUUUACCUUUCAAAUGCCACGACUGCUGCUGCAACACUUUUAUAGGAUAUUAACAUUUGAUAAUAUGAUAUUUUUAACUCUGAUAAAAUACCCUUAGAUUCACCCCAUCAUAUACCCCCCGCACACACAGGGUCAAAUUUUAGUUGUUGUUGUAGCUGCUCUGGUGUGUCCAUUACAGCCUUGGCUGCAUGGGCAAUUGUGAUUGAAGACUCUGUCUCCAUCCCUCCACUUUGCGGUCAAAACCACCUUAUGGGUGGGGAUUGAUUGUAUCCCAGGCACGGCAUCCUGCACUAAGCCAGUAUGGAAGGCUGGUUAGCCAACGACGGGUAAGAUCCCACCUUGAAGCCCGGGACAACCUAAAACAGGCACAGUCACGAUUACUUGGCAGUCACUGUGAGCACUGGCUCACUUGAUCAUGAAGUGACAAACUGCAACCAUCAUAGGAAGAGCCGGAGGGUCAAAGGUGGAGGGGGAACAGGGGUCAGAUAUGGCAGCCCCAGCAGCAGAGGUGGUGGUAUUGGGACAGGCAUGUUACGUUUUAUUUGCCCGUUGAGGUGUGAAGGCCUAUUGCUGCAUGAAAUCUUUUCGGUUUAGUGCAUGACUUGGUAACGGCGUGGUUUCAAGGCGGCUGAUGGUAAACCCACCAAUAUCAACCUUUGGUUUUGGAUAUGCUGGCUUCGAUUUCCCUUCCCAAUAGAUUGGUUUUAGUUUAUGGAUGGUUAGGGUUAGGCGUUCCAACGUUGGUUCCACCGACGGCAUUGUUAGGUUCGCCUAUCAUUUAAAUGCGCAUGGUUUUGACCAUUGCGCAAGGGGGGAGGUGUUGAGGAGUGUUGAGAAUUAGAAAACAAGGUUUUUUCUUCACCAUAAUUGCAAUCAAUAAUUGAUAAACCAACUAAAUGAGUAUAAAUGAUGUGCAAAAAACAAUGUAAGAAAAACAAUCACUGCUACAUUGGGACACAUUCCCACACCUGAAGGACCAUUUUGACAUUUGGUCAUGAACUAUGUUGACAUGUUGUGCAUUCAUGCCAAGGUUUGAAAUUCAAUCAGAGAUAAGUUCAGACAAUGGGCCAGCAUAUAUUCAGCAAACACUGUUUCAAGCACUAAAUAGAACUGGUUAGAUGCAAUUAUUAUCUUUACACACACACACACACACACAACUAUAUACACACACACACACACACACACACACACACACACACACACACACACACACAUAUACACACACACACACACA